UUUAUUCCGGCCUGAUUAAUGGCGGGAUGUUUUUACACAGCAAGCUUUAGUUGCAGCACAGACUUCGGUCUGGUGGCGAGUGGCGAACGGGUGAGUAAUGUGUCGGUAACGUGCCCAGUAGCGGGGGAUAACUACGCGAAAAAGCGUACACUGCUACUGCCCUUCGGGGAAAGUUGGGGACCUUUUCGGGCCUCGCACCAUUAGAGCGGCCGAUAUCGGAUUAGCUUGGUGGGGUAACGGCUCACCAAGGCGACGAUCCGUAGCUGGUUUGAGAGGACGACCAGCCACACUGGGACUGAGACACGGCCCAGACUCCUCACGGGAGGCAGCAGUGGGGAAUUUGGAUAAUGGGGAAACUCCUGAUCCAGCCAUCUGCAAGAUGAAGGCCUUCGGGUUGUAAAGCACUUUUGGCAGGAAAGAACGGCACGGGCAGACAGGACAAAGAUACUACCCGCAACUGACGGUACCUGCAGAAUAAGCACCGGCUAACUACGCCAGCAGCCAGGUAAUACGUAGGGUGCAAGCGUUAAUCGGAAUUACCGGCGUAAGCGUGCGCAGGCGGUUCGGAAAGAAAGAUGUGAAAUCCCAGAGCUUAACUUUGGAACCGCAUUUUUAACUACCGAGCUAGAGUGUGUCAGAGGGAGGUGAACGCGUGUAGCAGUGAAAUGCGUAGAUAUGCGGAGGAACACCGAUGGCGAAGGCAGCCUCCUGGGAUAACACUGACGCUCAUGCACGAAAGCGUGGGGAGCAAACAGGAUUAGAUACCCUGGUAGUCCACGCCCUAAACGAUGUCAAUCAGCUGUUGGGGCCUUCGGCCUUGGUAGCGCAGCUAACGCGUGAAGUUGACCGCCCGGGAGUACGGUCGCAAGAUUAAAACUCAAAGGAAUCGACGGGACCCGCACAAGCGGUGGAUGAUGUGGAUUAAUUCGAUGCAACGCGAAAACCUUACCUACCCUUGACAUGUCUGGAAUCCCGAAGAGAUUUGGGAGUGCUCGCAAGAGAACCGAACACAGGUGCUGCAUGGCUGUCGUCAGCUCGUGUCGAGAUGUUGGGUUAAGUCCCGCAACGAGCGCAACCCUUGUCAUUAGUUGCUACGAAAGGGCACUCUAAUGAGACUGCCGGUGACAAACCGGAGGAAGGUGGGGAUGACGCCAAGUCCUCAUGGCCCUUAUGGGUAGGGCUUCACACGUCAUACAAUGGUCGGGACAGAGGGUCGCUAACCCGCGAGGGGGAGCCAAUCCCAGAAACCCGAUCGAACCGGAUCGCAGUCUGCAACUCGACUGCGUGAAGUCGGAAUCGCUAGGUAAUCGCGGAUCAGCAUGUCGCGGUGAAUACGUUCCCGGUCUUGUACACACCGCCCGUCACACCAUGGGAGUGGGUUUUACCAGAAGUGGUUAGCCUAACCGUAAGGAGGGCGAUUACCACGGUAGGAUUCAUGACUGGGGUGAAGUCGUAACAAGGUAG
Molecule: ribosomal RNA, 1464 nt
Filed under: uncultured Bordetella sp.
Lineage: Bacteria; Pseudomonadati; Pseudomonadota; Betaproteobacteria; Burkholderiales; Alcaligenaceae
Description: partial 16S-23S ribosomal RNA intergenic spacer
Rfam family: Bacterial small subunit ribosomal RNA
Source: RNAcentral